UCAGCUUUGUGAGAUGCCAUAUCAUAUUGAGUUCUCUUUUGUUGUGCUGUAUUUUACAUUUUAGUAAGAAACGCUUUCCUUUGUAUCUUUGAAAAAGCGCCUUUAAAAGGCGAGCACCACCGAUUCUGUGAGUGAGUGCGGGAGCGGCCGGCCGUAUGCGCAUGGACGGAGGACUAAGCAUGUGCAGCCCAUGAGCGAUGCCGAACACAACGGUUGUAGCAGGUGCAGUUCAAGGCCGUUUCUUGAAGGGAAAGGAAGAAUCUAAAUGCUCUCUUUUACUUUUCAGUUCUUCAUCUUGAUUUUGAAGCAAGUUUCUGCUAGCUAAGGGUUGAACUUUGAACUUUAAAUUGCCGCAUGGCUAUAACCAAAGUCACAAAGUACGCCAAUCUUUUCUUUGGAUGUUGACAACUAUCCACUAUUUUAUUGUCGAGAGCUGGAGCCAUAGACUUCCAAAGCUUGGUGGAAAGGAAAAGGAGUACCAGUACAUGUUGUGGCCUUGUUGGGUUUCAUGAAAAUUGAUGAAAAGAAAGGUGAUUGAGAAGGAUGGCUAAAGAAAAACCAAUCUAGAAGAAACAUGAAUUUUCUUUGCUUGUUUUUUGAUCUUAUGAAAAUUUAAUGAGAAAGUUUUGAGAAAUCAUUUGUAAUGGAAGUUUUUCUUACAAAUAGAGGGCUUGAACAGAGCCAAUUUAGAGCCUGGUUGAUGAACUCGUCUUGGUCUAUUGGUCAAGAGCUUUGACUACUAAUAAAAAAAUUUAGAUUUGAAGCUUGCGUA
Molecule: long non-coding RNA, 772 nt
Organism: Dendrobium catenatum
Lineage: Eukaryota; Viridiplantae; Streptophyta; Magnoliopsida; Asparagales; Orchidaceae
Exons: 2
Source: RefSeq, a predicted model, not a curated record